RNAcentral lists this ribosomal RNA (567 nucleotides) under Enterobacter hormaechei. RNAcentral describes it as "bacterial SSU rRNA". It matches the Rfam family "Bacterial small subunit ribosomal RNA", at positions 61 to 617 of the family's 1533-position model. The record is from RNAcentral. Lineage: Bacteria; Pseudomonadati; Pseudomonadota; Gammaproteobacteria; Enterobacterales; Enterobacteriaceae.
GUCGAACGGUAACAGGAAGCAGCUUGCUGCUUCGCUGACGAGUGGCGGACGGGUGAGUAAUGUCUGGGAAACUGCCUGAUGGAGGGGGAUAACUACUGGAAACGGUAGCUAAUACCGCAUAACGUCGCAAGACCAAAGAGGGGGACCUUCGGGCCUCUUGCCAUCGGAUGUGCCCAGAUGGGAUUAGCUAGUAGGUGGGGUAACGGCUCACCUAGGCGACGAUCCCUAGCUGGUCUGAGAGGAUGACCAGCCACACUGGAACUGAGACACGGUCCAGACUCCUACGGGAGGCAGCAGUGGGGAAUAUUGCACAAUGGGCGCAAGCCUGAUGCAGCCAUGCCGCGUGUAUGAAGAAGGCCUUCGGGUUGUAAAGUACUUUCAGCGGGGAGGAAGGCGAUAAGGUUAAUAACCUUGUCAAUUGACGUUACCCGCAGAAGAAGCACCGGCUAACUCCGUGCCAGCAGCCGCGGUAAUACGGAGGGUGCAAGCGUUAAUCGGAAUUACUGGGCGUAAAGCGCACGCAGGCGGUCUGUCAAGUCGGAUGUGAAAUCCCCGGGCUCAACCUGG